AAAAAAAACUCAAUUAUACAAAAAAUUAACGUUGUACUCAAUUUUCUCUGUUUCAUUUGUCUCCAAUUUCUGUUCUCUUUCUCCGGUAAGUUCAUCGAAUCUUUGGGGAAAAAAAACAACCUUGAUUUCACCCUGUAAUUUCAUUCUUCAUUUGAUUACUUACACGUUUUGUACUCUUACGUAAAUUACUGUAUAUUAUAAGUAUAAAAAAAUUAAUACUGGCUAAAAAUUCAAUACGAUGGCGAUGUCAAAUGAUUAUGGCAGUGGCACAUUCGAAUCAUAUUAAAAAGAAUAUGCUUUUUCUCAAGGCUCAGUCUUUGACAGUUAUUGUUUCUGAAUUAUGAGUACUUUGUAUAUUGUAUUUCGUGGGUUUCUUGAUUUGUGACCCUAAUAAGCUCAGCACUGAUUAUUUGAGCUGUGUGUAGUUUCUGAUACCAUUUUAUUGAUGGGGUUUGGGUUUGAUUUGUUGGGUAUUCAGCAAAUUUGUUUAUUGUUGUAGUACAUGUUUCCCCUUUUUUGAAUUGUGAUCAUAUAGUAGGUAAAGAUUGGGAAAACGGUUAAAGAUUGGAUUUUUAUGGUGAAGAUUUGGAGAUUUAGGCAAUUUGAUGAAUGGAAUGUAGUAGUGAGGGGGAAAGAUUCAAUCUUGAUAAAUUGGGGUUUUGAUUUUGUGAUGGGGAAAUAAGAUUCUGUAAAGUGGAAGCUUGUUUGGUAGAUAUUGAUAAUUUAUAGAAAAAAUGAAUACUGUGGGGAGAAUAGGUAGCUACAUUGGGAGAGGGGUAAGUAGUGUUUCGGGUACUUUCCAUCCAUUUGGUGGUGCUGUGGAUAUCAUAGUGGUGGAGCAGCCGGAUGGGAGUUUGAAAACAUCCCCCUGGUAUGUUCGAUUCGGGAAGUUUCAGGGAGUUUUGAAGGCAAGAGAAAAGGUGGUUAAUAUAGCUGUCAAUGGCGUUGAAGCCGGUUUUCAUAUGUAUUUAGAUGGUAGGGGACGAGCUUUCUUUAUAAAGGAUGUAGAUAUAGAAGAUGGGGAGUCUUUCUCUUCUUCAUCAUCCUCAGGUGAGGAUGCUGACGGGCAAACCAGUAGUAAGCGGCCAACAAUAUCAAAGAGUUGCAACUAUGAUGCUUCUGAAUCUAAUUCAACUACUCAGAUCAAUGUGAGCGGUGAGAAUGUCUCGGUGAGGGCCAAUUCCCAAAGACCUGGGAUUUUAGGCCGGGUUUUUGGGAGGAAGUCGAUGAAAAAAGACAGGCUUCCUGGGGAAGAAAAUGAUGCCAGUAUUAUGAGGACAGACUCAUUGGAGUGUGCUGAAAUGGCAGCUGAUCUGUUAGAAAUGAAGUGGUCUACUAAUCUUACCCCGAAGAGGUACAACAGAGAUUAUGUCAUACCAGUUGCUUCCCAAGAUAUGUCAAAGGGUGUUAAAGAAGAGGACUUGCAAGCAAGCAACAAGAAAAGUGAUACGAGUUCUCUUGCACAUGAUAGCAUGUUAGACAAUCUUGACUUCCGUGACCCUGCUUGUGAGAAGGAUGAUGGUUCUCAUCCAAGCUUUCAAACUCAAGAGGAGUCUGUCAAGGUAACUGGUAAUGCUGCAAGAGUGUCCAUUGUCCAAGAUAUUGAAGAUUAUGGUCGUGAAGAAAGCUUAAGAAUUUCUGGUGACAGUGGUGAACUAGGCUUAGUUAACGCUGAUCAUGAUGCCGCGGGUGGUACAUUUAUAUCUGAGGUUGCGAGCCCCUGUUCAAAAUUUGUGGAUUCCCCUGAGAUAAAGAAACAUGAUUCUUUUAUAGUUAGCCGUCUUCCCGAGGAGGAACAUGAAAUUGCUGCAGUCCAGUCCUUUUUCUAUUGUGAAACUGACGAGAACUCGACAACAAUGCUGGAUGUUUCAACUGAAGAGUUCACUCAAAACUUGUGUGCUUCUUGUGAUCUUGAAGCUCGUAUGCACACCCAAACAGUCCUCAGUAUGAAUGAUUUAAUGUCAAAGGGAAACUCUCAACCAGAAGAGGAUUUAUUAUUUGAAAAGGAUUCUUCAAAUGGUUUCAAGGUUAUGACCAACAACACUAAUCCAAACUCAAUCUCUAAUUUUUUGGUCUCCGAUAGCGGUUCGUUGAAUAGCUCUGCUGCAGAAACAGAUUUUGGGUGCUUUUUACCCAACUCUUGUUCAAGCACCUCAACCGAUAAAGCAAGAAGUAUAAAAGAUAAAGCAACAGACAAACUUGAAGCCUCUUCCGAGGCUCUUGGAGAUCCUAAUGGAUCUAGUGGCCGUUUGGUCCCACUUCCGGUUUCUUCAUUAGAAGGCUUGGAGGAAGAGCACCUUGUCUUUGGUGAUAUUGAUGAUGGUUACGACACUGUAGGCAGAUACACGGAGUCCACUUCUUCAGAUUAUAAGAAAAAAGAAGAUUACCCCCCUGCAUCUUCAAGCUCUCUUGAUAUCAACGACUACCGAGUACCGAACUAUGAAUCUUGUCCUACUCUGGCCAAGUCCAUCCAAAGUGAUCUGCCGAUUGUUGCAGAUGGAAGAAAACUCAGAACUGUAUUAAGCAAUGUUGACAUUCCUGCCAUAGUUCAGGGUAAUGAAGUUAUGCGGAUGGGCAGAUCUUUACCCAAUAUGUGGUCUCAAAAAAAUGUUUGUCCUUCUAAUCCUGAGGAUUUACAUUCAUCAAUUGUACUACAGACAACAGAAGUUGCUGAGUUCACGGAGGAGGUGAAAAAUAUUUCAGCCACCCCAGAAAUUGAAAGAGAUCCUAGACCCAUUAAUUCAUUGGGUAGUAGUAGCAGCUGGAGAUCAUGGUCUUUUGCUUUCAAGAGAUCAAGAAGCAUGAAAAAUUCUGGCGUGUCCAUGGAUGAAGAUGUAAAUACUGCUAAGGAUAUUUCAAAAAACACAGGUGGUGAUAGAGAAGAAGAUGUGCCAAGGCCAAAGAUUCCUAAGAAGAAAAUAAUGGUAAACACUCCAGAACCUGAACAGCUGGCUACUUUGAAUCUGAAGGAGGGAAAGAACAUAGUUGUUUUCACAUUCUCGACUGCAAUGCUGGGGAAACAGCAGGUUGAUGCAUGUAUAUAUUUGUGGAGAUGGGACUCAAAAGUUGUAAUAUCUGAUGUUGAUGGAACAAUUACAAGAUCUGAUGUUCUAGGACAGUUCAUGCCUUUGGUUGGGAUGGAUUGGUCACAGAUAGGCGUUGCACAUCUCUUUUCGGCCAUCAAGGAGAAUGGAUAUCAUUUGCUUUUCCUAAGUGCACGUGCUAUUUCACAGGCCUAUCUUACCAGACAAUUCCUCUUUAAUCUUAUGCAGAAUGGUGUGGGAUUACCAGAAGGACCAGUUCUUACAUCACCUGAUGGAAUUUUCCCUUCUCUAUUUCGAGAAGUGGUUAGAAGAGCUCCUCAUGAAUUCAAAAUUGCUUGCUUAGAGGAUAUAAAAGCACUGUUCCCUUCUGAUAGGAAUCCCUUUCCCUUCUAUGCUGGUUUUGGAAACAGACACACGGAUGAGAUCAGCUACCUCAAGGUUGGAAUACCUAAAGGGAAAAUCUUUACCAUCAACCCAAAGGGUCAAAUCGUUGUAAAUCGACACAUAGACACAAAAUCAUAUACCUCUCUUCAUAGUCUUGCCACUGCCAUGUUUCCAGCCAUUCUCUCAUGUGAGCAGGAGGAUUUUAACGUGUGGAAUUUCUGGAGACUUCCACCUCCUUAUAUUGAUUGAAAAUUAGCAGAGUCCAUCCUGAACUAUUUUUUUUUGAGAUUCAGGGAUGGUAGCCCCACGGACAACGUAAGAUUCAGCAAAAGGCUAAUGUGUUUUAUACUAUAAAUACAAGUCAAGUUUGAUUGAACCACAAACAAGGCUCAUUGUAUCUGUAUAUUGCACGCGAAAGUGGCUAGUGUAUAUAGUAUUGUCUUAUAUCCGUCAUCUUGGAGGAAGAAAAUCGUGUCCUCAGUUUUCUGAUAUUCUGCUCAUCAAUCAUCGACUAGCCAAUACACUUUGGCCCUACAUAUACACAUACUUAUGAGAAGGAAAAUACGAAAUACGCUCCUUCAAGACGAGUUGAACUUUGUAAAUUGUUGUAGUAUUAGUAUAUGUUAAUGAGGAAAUGUAGAUUUUGUUGUAGUUUGGUGAUUUGUAGAAUCUGUCUUAUAAAGGGACUUACAUGUUGAGGCAAACUGUAUAAAGGUUAAAUUGUCAAUAACACACAUCAAAAUAUUGGACCAGUAUUUUAAGUAAUUUUUUCUGUAUAAAGGCUAUGUUGCUCAAA
Non-coding RNA from Solanum lycopersicum (tomato), 4224 nucleotides. The record is from RefSeq and is a predicted model, not a curated record. Lineage: Eukaryota; Viridiplantae; Streptophyta; Magnoliopsida; Solanales; Solanaceae.